RNAcentral lists this ribosomal RNA (264 nucleotides) under uncultured bacterium. RNAcentral's name for it is "partial 16S ribosomal RNA". It matches the Rfam family "Bacterial small subunit ribosomal RNA", at positions 90 to 354 of the family's 1533-position model. The record is from RNAcentral.
CCCUAGUGGCGGACGGGUGAGUAACGCGUGGGUAACCUGCCAUAUACAGGGGGAUAACACUUAGAAAUAGGUGCUAAUACCGCAUAAGCGCACAGGGGCGCAUGCCCCGGUGUGAAAAACUCCGGUGGUAUAUGAUGGACCCGCGUCUGAUUAGCCAGUUGGCAGGGUAACGGCCUACCAAAGCGACGAUCAGUAGCCGGCCUGAGAGGGUGGACGGCCACAUUGGGACUGAGACACGGCCCAAACUCCUACGGGAGGCAGCAG